RNAcentral lists this ribosomal RNA (369 nucleotides) under Triticum aestivum (bread wheat). RNAcentral's name for it is "partial small subunit ribosomal RNA". Lineage: Eukaryota; Viridiplantae; Streptophyta; Magnoliopsida; Poales; Poaceae. The record is from RNAcentral.
AUGGGGGUCUCUGGCUGCGGUAACAACAACGGCAAGACGCUGGUGCUCCUGGCCUGCUUCCUCCUCCUGGUGGCUUCCCCGUUCCUGCAUGGAGUCGGGCGCUUCGCCGUCGCGGAAGCGACGAGUCCAGAGGAAGCGGCCGAGCAGAAGCUGAUGGCGGGGAGCACGCGGACGCUGGAGACGGCGGCGCCGCAGCAGCAUCGGCAUGGCCCGGGCUCGGCCGCGUCUGCCAUGUCGAGCAAUGCUGCUGGCCGUCUCUGGUCGGCCGAGCCCAAGCCGGCCGUGGCUCGCAGGUUGCUGCCGGAAGGAGCUGUAGACGGGGCCGGCCAUUCGUGCGGCUCCAACGGUGGCCAGGGCUGCAUCCCGUAA